Molecule: unclassified non-coding RNA, 792 nt
Filed under: Bombus terrestris (buff-tailed bumblebee)
Lineage: Eukaryota; Metazoa; Arthropoda; Insecta; Hymenoptera; Apidae
Description: misc RNA ENSBTSG00005029929.1
Source: RNAcentral
AAAUGGCAAUACUAGAAUAUCGAAGAUAUAUGACAAAUAUAAGUUGACUUGGGUAUUUCUCAGAAUAAUAAUUGCUAGGUAUAUUUUCUGAAGGUAAUUUUGCAGAAACAUCUGCAGAAACAUACAUAUAUGCAAAGUGUUUGUCCAGGAUAAAGAUACAAAGCGAAUGUGCCAGCUUGAAGAUAAGUUCCACCAAGGUCUUUCUUACGGUGCACAUAGCUUACACAACGGAUGCUUACUGCGCGAAUGCUUCCUGCUAUGAUUCCUACUUAUAAUUCAUGACGGUAAUCUGAACUUAGAUGACACAAGCGUCAAUUCAUACAGCGAGCCCAAUGAUGCAGAAUAUUAUUCCACGACGAAUAAGAUCAGAAAUUAUAUUAACAAAGAAUUGUCCAACUCUGCUGGAUCUGUACGACAGAAAACGAAUGUUAUAUUUCGAUAGAUGUUGUUAAUAAAAUAAAUAUUGAGGAAAUGAUACUCUACUACGCGAUACCAAAAAAAAAAUAAAUAAAAAUAUAAAGAACGACAAGAUGUACGUAUUUGACUCGGAAAUAUCAGGUACACGUUCAGAUAUUUUUUAUUUUUGAAUAACCGAUGUAGUUACCGAAUUUCCAGAUAAAUGUAACGUUCAAAAAAUUAUCCCAAUCAUGAUUAACAAUUAAAAAUAUCUUAUAGGUAAAUUCGCUAUAAUAAAAAAAAAGGGGAGAGACGUUCCUUUGCUGAAUUUAGCGAUUUAGGCACAUCAACCUUUCUUUGCAUCCUAUAUCUUCCAUCAUUUUGUUCUUUCAAUAG